This 6415-nucleotide long non-coding RNA is filed under the name Homo sapiens (human). RNAcentral's name for it is "HSALNT0000990". Lineage: Eukaryota; Metazoa; Chordata; Mammalia; Primates; Hominidae. The record is from RNAcentral.
GGAGAAUUUAAUAGAAGACCUUUGUUUUCUACCUGUAGUGAUUUAUGUUUGCAUGUUUCCAGAUUUAAAAUGCUUCUUGUUUCUGAAAAGGUGGUCGUGGUCAGGAUUAUUUUGGGAGAUUGGAGAAUGGUUGAAGCCAUCUGGAAAGAGGGUCUGGAAGAGGUUGGCUUUGAACUGGGGUUGAAGAGAAAGGAAGUUGUAUAUUCAACAUCAGGACAAAGUCACUGGCUGUGUACAGGGCUGGCCAUCACAUUUUGCCCAGUAGACUGGAACCCUAUGUCCACCUGUCCAUAUUGCCAUUCCCCGACAUGCCCUACAACAGAGUGAACAUCUAACAAAUAAUGCAAGACUGCACGCAACCCUUGGUGAGCGGCAUUAAAGGAAUACCAGAAUGUUCCAGAAGUUCUUUUUCUGAUAGCUGCUCCAAAUUUCUGGCCAAAGCCUCCUUAACCUUGCUUCAGGGUCAGAAUGUUCUCAAAGAGUGGUCAAUUUUUUAAACCUUCUUUUUUUAAUUACCCCGGUCAUCAGCAAUGAGGAACUCUAGAAUGUUCUGAUGACUCUUACAGUGCUUUGAUUAAUUGGACAUGUUUAACCACUCUGCAUCUCAGCUGAUCUGCAGAUAGUGGACGCUGAGAAUUUAACAGGAGAGGAAAAUGUAAUUGGACUAAUUUCAUUCCUGCAGAGCUGGAGAAGCGGAAGUCAUUUUUUAUCACUGCAGCUAUUAAAGGGCCCUGGUUUUUUUUCAAUACAGAAGAGCAUAAUAAACUUUAUAUAAAAGUGAACAGAUGAUCAAAUAAACAGAGUUAUGGAGAUAGGAGCUGGUGGGGUUGAGGUCUGGGAGAAUUUACUGUUCAGUCGUGGAACCUGAUGAUAGGUUUGAAAGAUGUCUCAGUUCAUCUCCAUCUGAAGUUGUUGGAGCCUCAGGAGCACAGAGCUUUGGGGGUCUUGCUGAGCCAGCACCCUGCCCUCCGGGAGCACUGUCACCUGGGAAAUGGUCCUGCCAGGAACAUUUUCAAGAAGUGUCCCUUGCACACUCAUACAGACAUAUUCACACACACACACAUACAGCUUUCUGGGCACCAGCUAAGUAAUACAGACAAAAGUCCAACUCCCCAGCCAGGUACUCUUCUCCAUGACUGGACCCAGAAGGAUCUCCUCUGAGGUCACUUUUUCCUGCUUUGUAAUGAAUCUAAUUACAGCCAUGGGUCAUAUAAACUGGACCCCCCCUUCCCCACUUAUCCUUUUACUUUGGCUGGCCUAGCAGAGAAGACUUAGCCACAGCCAAGGAGAUGGGUUCUUUUCCCUGUGGACCCUCUGUUUCCUCCAGAGGGACUCCCAGAGCAAAUGCCUGCGUGCAGUGCAGCCUCCGCUGAAGCUCCUGGACAUCUCCAGAGAGAACACAGGCUCAGAUCCUCUCAACCUGGACUCAGACCUGGGUUCCCUCCCCUUGCUGCACAGAGGAUCAUACAGUAAUACACAGCAUGCUCAACUAAAUUAGAAUUCCAGGGAAAUGAUGAAUGAUAUUUUGGUAUAUUUCAUGCAAUAUUGGGGAUAUACUUAUACUAAAUGUUAUUCAUUAUUGGUCUGAAAUUCAAAUGUAACUGGGCUUCCCGUAUUUUUAUCAGUUAAAUCUGCCAACCCUAUACCCAUGGGGCCUUGGGCGGGUGCAGCUUUAAAAAAUAUUCUGUGCCUCAGUUUCCUCAUCUUUUCAAAGGGGGACAAUAACAAUAAUAGAGCUGACUCCGUGUGGCCCGUGUGAGGAGUGCACAAAGGAAGCACUAGGCAAAUGUGAGGUGUGUUCACUCAUUCAUUCUGUCAAUAACCUUGUGUAGUACAUUUCCUCUAUAUGAGGCCCUGAGCCAGGCUGGGGCCUGGGGAGGGGCAAUACCAAACAUGGCAGAUAUAGGUUCUACCUCCUGGACUUUCGUUGUUGGUGGGAUGAGUCCAAAGAGGGGCUCUGCAGAUGGUCGGCUGGGCCAUUUGUUCCUCUGCAGUGGUUUUCUGUUUCUUGAAGAGUCUUUACAGGGACGGUCAGCAUGAAGUCCAUGGGAGAUGAACCUGCCUUGAUGGUAUCAACUCAGCAGGUCUGAUGAGCAAGUGCUUUGCAGCCCAGGCUCCCCCUCAUCUCUGGGCAUUUGGAACAUCCCACCUGAGUGUCCUGUGCCCGAGCCCCAGCUGCUGUCCUGAGAUGCUGCCUGAGACCGCCAUCCACCUCCCGUGAGUGUUGAUGGGACUCUUGGCUGACCUGGUAAGCUCUGCUGGCCAGGGAAGGAGGUGGAGUGAGGGAUCCUGCAAGGAAGUAGAGUUGCUUGCUUUUCCAGCAAUGGUCAGCCUCGACAGACAGCCCUGGGGGACCCUUAAUGCCUGUUCUCCUUCCUGUCCCAUGAGCACAAGGCACCAGGAUUUAGCUCAGUCCCUGGGGUGGGCAGGCUGGCUGGCCCAGGGUGGUACAGAGGAGUGGGUCCAGAGCAAGGAAGGUCUGGCUGUUGGACCCUUGUAGGGUGUGCAGGCCACCAGUCAGCUGCCUGUGGUCAAGCAGGGCAGUGUCUGGGUUUAUAUCUCCAGGGACAAGUGCGAAAGCAGAGAGCAGAGCCGGAGGGUGAGCGGGGUGAGCGGAGACGCCCCUCCCUGGUAGAAAGACCACACAUGCAAAACAGCCAUCCAACGUUAAGGGUUUCCUGGAUCUCCAGACCCAACUCAGGGAUCCUGGAGCCUGCAGCCAUCAGUUGAGCUUGGGGGACCAAAUUCAGUCAUUUCAGCCCAGAGUGCAGGAGCAGGCUGAAAACAGAUGGUGUAAAACAAAAAUCACAGGAAAGCAUGCAAGGUCGGGGUGCAGCUGCAUUUUCCCUGUAUGUGCCAGGGCCUCUCUGCAGGCCAGGGGGCCAGACCCAGUGACCAUGUCCUCUGAGAGCUUUCUGACUGCUCAGGUAGUUGCAGCAGGAGCUUAGGUGGAAGGAACUGUGCACCCUUUUUCGCAGAUGCAGAUGGGUGCAGGGUCAGGGUUGCAAGGAAAUCCAUGUUUUCUUGGCAGCUUCUUUUUGUUCCACGUUCAAAAUAUAUUUGUCUCUGGUCCUGGUCCUGCAUUAAUGGACUCUGACAUGUUGCUGUCAGUAGAGUGAAAUCCCAAGCAGAGGAAUUCCAAGCCACUCGGGAGUCCCUCUCAGACUCUCGGCGGCGAUCACGGUAUAUUAAGGGGAAGUUCAUCUCUUUUAGUCUGAGUUUUUAUUUGACAUGUUGCUAUAUUAAUGUCAAGAAGUCUACUUUAGCAAGUCCCUUUACAACGCAGCCUCAGGAGCUGCAUUACUGACAGAGAGAUUGGAGUUUCAGGAUGUGCCACGGAAAAAAUAAUCUCUGAGUUUCAUUUUGAAUAGCGAAAAUCUGAAUGAAAAACCCCCCGUAAUUGUCUGAUGGGAAAUAUAUUGUCUCACAAUAUCAGUUUCAUUGAUUCCCUUUCAUAUUUGUAUUAAAACUGAAAAGCUAGCAAUAACCUCAGCCUGUUAUUGGAAAUGUGGGUGUGGGAGGGAACAGCAGCCUGGGUAGGGAGGCAGGAAUUAAUCAGAGAAGAAAAGAGAGAGUCCUUGUGGGCCCCCCCCCGGAUCUUUUGUCUUCCUUCACACAGAAACACCAGCGAUGGCAGUUUUACAAAAGGGGUGAGCCGUUAAAUUAUCAUGGCAUUAUCUUUGUGUCUGUCUCUUUGUGUUAGGUAAAUAAUGCUCAAAUGAGAGGACAGUCCAUGACCUUGAGUGUGUCAACACAAUCUCUGCCAGCUGUCGCCUACUUUCAUCUUCAUGACACAUGCGGGGAGAGGAAAGAAGGAAGUAAUGGGCAGAAAAUGCCCUAAGACAGGAUCAUCGGCAGGUGUGGGGGGAUGGUGGGGACCUGCACCAGGCACAUUAGACCCCUGGUGAGUUUUGCUCGCAUGGAAUCCAAAACUCUAUAUUCCAACAAGUGUUUGCUGAGCAUCUACUUGCACUCUGACCUCACACUAGGAAUCUUGGAAGGUACAAAAUGAGGACGCCUCAGCCCCUGCUUCUUCAGAGCUGCAGUACAAGUUCAUACCACCUACAUUGAGAAUCAGGAAGUGCCGUGGCUGGUCUCCAAGAAGGCCCCCAAUGAACCAAUAACCCGCUUCUCACCUGGCGUUCACUGUGUGUGCAGUCCUCUCUCCUAUAGCUCCAGGUUGCUGUGUGAGACCACAGUGCACAGCAGACCCUUCUGAAAUGAGGUUGUACAAACUGCCACUUCCGUCUUAGGGGCGACUUGCUUUCUGGUUGUCUCUCCUUCUGGGAGUUCAGCGGCCACAGGAAGAAGUCUAGGCCAUGCUGCUGGAGAAGAGAGACCCAGGAGGGUGAGAGGCCACCUGGAGAAGAGAGACCCAGGAGGGUGAGAGGCCACCUGGAGGAGAGACACCCAGGAGGGUGAGAGGUUGCCUGGAGGAGAGAGACCCGGGAGGGUGAGAGGCUGCCUGGAGGGGAACGGAAGCCAAACUCCACCUGCCAGCCCUCUGAGUCAGCCUUCUUGCCAGCAGGAAAAUAAACGUUUUAAUCAACUGUUCUGCUUCUUGCUGGAGCCAAAGAUUCCUUCCACAGAAAACGCUCGGGAGGUCCAGGUGACUCAAGGCUCUGGUGAUCUGGUCCUCGGCUUGGAGAGGAAUCUGGGAAAGGCUCAGGGUUCCAGGCCCCUGCACAAGGCAGUUGGAACCUCAGAACACAGCAGGACCCAGGGACUGGAGCCUGCAGGUCGGGACUAGGAAAGGUUGGUGGGUUAUCGGAAUCAGAGAUUGGGGCUGUCUUUUCUAAGCUUGGCCUUAGUUCAGCCAGCACCUCCAGAAGCUGUUGAGACACAGAAGGGCCUAAAAAACCUUGACAUGUGGCCAUCAUUCCAAUGACCUCAAUGUGUAGAUGGCAGGUCAGUGGUUUUUACUCAGCUGUGUCUCCCUCAGUCCUCAUCUGUUAAAGGGGACAAGGAUGCCUGGGCCCAGCAGGCUGGGCAGCUGAUCCAGCGAGGACCAGCUCACCAGCACCAAGUGGGGGUCUGGUGCCUCUGCCUGCCCUCUCUUGGCCAUGUGUUCACACUGCACAAGCCUGAGAUCCCAGAGAGACAGUCUGAGCUGGGGCCAAUGGGUGCAUGUCUUGUGACCAGAUGCGGCCAUUGAGAUGUUCCCUGAAUUUAGUGUGUGGCCGUGGAAGGGAGUGCAAGGGACAUUCGGAGUACACCAGAACCAGGAUGGGGGAGGGGAACAGAGAAACCACCAGUAAACCCAGUGGGCGGGCAGCGGUCCAAGUUCUGCUCAGGUUCCUCAAAAGUCGAACAUGGAGUGACCACACAAUCCAACAAUUCUGCUUCUGGGACGCACCUGGAAGAAUGGACAGCAGAGACUCAGAUACGUGUCUGCCCACAUUCACAGCAGCAUCACUCAGAAUAGCCAAAAGGUGGAAGCAACCCAAGUGUCCAUAAAUGGCUGGAUGGAGAAGCAAAGUACAGUCUAUCCACACUGUAUAAUAGAGUGUUAUUCAGCCACAGAAUGAAUGAAGUGCUAUACCUGCUCUAACACGGGCGAACCUUGAAAACAUGCUGCCAGCUGACAACAGUCAAAUGGAAACGUUCCCGUAUUGCAUGAUUUCACUUACAUGGCACAUCAGAAUACGUAAAUCCGCAGAGACAGAAGCAAGUUGGUGGUCAUGGGCGCUGGGAGCUGGGAGUGAUUUUGCUUAAUGGGUGCACAGUUUCCUUUUGGGAUGACAUUAAUGUCUUAGAACAAGACAGAGUUGGCCGGGUGGGGUGGCUCACACCUGUAAUCCCAGCACUUUGGGAGGCCGAGGCAGGUGGAUCACCUGGGGUCGGGAGUUCGAGACCAGUCUGACCAACAUAGUGAGAUCCUGUCUCUACUUAAAAUACAAAAAUUAGUUGAGCGUGUUGGCACAUGACUGUAAUCCCAGCUAUUGGCACAUGACUGUAAUCCCGGCUACUCAGCAGGCUGAGGCAGGAGAAUCACUUGAAUCCAGGAGGCAGAGUUCGCAGUGAGCCAAGAUCACAUGAUAGCACUCCGGCCUGGGCAACACAGCGACACUCCGUCUCAAAAAAAAAAAAAAAAAAAAAAAAAGAAGAAAAGAAAAAAAGAACAAGACAGAGUUGAUGGUUACAUAACACAAAGAAUGCACUAAAUGCCACCAAACUGUAUGUUUUAAAAUGGUUCAUUGUACAUAAGUUCCUUAUGGAUUCUGGAUACUAGACUUUCACCCAAAAGCGGGGAGGGAAGGAAGGGGAAAGUGCUGAAAAACUAGCUCACUGCCUGGGUGAUGGGAUCCAUGGUACCCCAAACCUCAGCAUCACACAAUAUACCCAUGUAACAAACCUGCAUAUGUACCCCCAAAUCUAAAAUAAAAGCUGAACUUAUAACAUAUGUAGGUUCAUU